Myotis davidii is the source of this 73-nucleotide non-coding RNA. NCBI's taxonomy places the organism in Eukaryota, Metazoa, Chordata, Mammalia, Chiroptera, Vespertilionidae. The record is from Rfam.
GCCAAUGUGGCUCAGUGGAUAGAGCGUUGGCCUGUAGACCAAAGGGUCCCGGGUUUGAUCCUGGUCAAGGGCA